RNAcentral lists this signal recognition particle RNA (157 nucleotides) under Chlorocebus sabaeus (green monkey). RNAcentral describes it as "Metazoan signal recognition particle RNA". It matches the Rfam family "Metazoan signal recognition particle RNA". From Rfam's summary of the family: The signal recognition particle (SRP) is a universally conserved ribonucleoprotein. It is involved in the co-translational targeting of proteins to membranes. The eukaryotic SRP consists of a 300-nucleotide 7S RNA and six proteins: SRPs 72, 68, 54, 19, 14, and 9. The record is from Rfam by way of RNAcentral. Lineage: Eukaryota; Metazoa; Chordata; Mammalia; Primates; Cercopithecidae.
GCCAGGCAUGGUGGUGUAUACCUGUAGUCUCAAUUACGUGGGAGGCUGGGGUGGGAGGAUUGCUUGAGCCUAGUAGCUCUAGGCUGCAGUGCGCCAUGAUCUGGGCAAUAUAGCCACUGCACUCCAGUCUGGGCAAUAUAGCGAGAUCCCAUCUCUA